This 410-nucleotide ribosomal RNA is filed under the name uncultured bacterium. RNAcentral's name for it is "bacterial SSU rRNA". It matches the Rfam family "Bacterial small subunit ribosomal RNA", at positions 8 to 422 of the family's 1533-position model. The record is from RNAcentral.
AGAGUUUGAUCCUGGCUCAGAUUGAACGCUGGCGGCAUGCCUUACACAUGCAAGUCGAACGGCAGCGCGGGGCAACCUGGCGGCGAGUGGCGAACGGGUGAGUAAUAUAUCGGAACGUACCCUGGAGUGGGGGAUAACGUAGCGAAAGUUACGCUAAUACCGCAUACGAUCUAAGGAUGAAAGUGGGGGAUCGCAAGACCUCAUGCUCCUGGAGCGGCCGAUAUCUGAUUAGCUAGUUGGUGGGGUAAAGGCCUACCAAGGCAUCGAUCAGUAGCUGGUCUGAGAGGACGACCAGCCACACUGGAACUGAGACACGGUCCAGACUCCUACGGGAGGCAGCAGUGGGGAAUUUUGGACAAUGGGCGAAAGCCUGAUCCAGCAAUGCCGCGUGAGUGAAGAAGGCCUUCGGG